AGAGAGAGAGAGAUAUAUUUCUGUGUUUUCCCAACUAUCAUUUUUAAAGAAAUGCACAGUGGAGGAAUUUCAGAGCCAUCUCAUUGUCAAAAAGAAGGAUGAUAUUAAUAUGAUAUCUUAAAGGGUAUAAAGGGCAGAUUAGAACCUUGGGUUACUUUGAUAUAAGUAAUCGGAGCAAUCUCCAUCGAGACACUCUUCAGCAAGAAUUUUUUCGACAUAGAAUUAUCCUUAGACAUUAAACUCAUUUAGUAUUUUUGUAAAAAUAUUUUCUCCAUAUCAAGAAUAAAUGUGUUCCUAAUGUCUCCUAAAAAAUUACAUCAAUUUUACGUGUUUUCUCUAACUUUUUAGUUUGUCCUUCCUGGUUGCUUGCUGUAAAAACCAUCAUGCUCCGAAGAAAUUCAUUUAAUAGCUACAUUAUUGUCCCAUAAUUCCUUCUCAUUGUCCUGACAACUUUCCUAUCUUUUAGAUACUAGUCAGUGCAUUGUAAAUGUCAACUACAGGCUUCAAAAAAAUGAAUCCCUAUACAUGAAUUCCC
RNAcentral lists this long non-coding RNA (535 nucleotides) under Phoenix dactylifera (date palm). Its description in RNAcentral is "long non-coding RNA (PDAC_LNC022294)". The record is from RNAcentral. Lineage: Eukaryota; Viridiplantae; Streptophyta; Magnoliopsida; Arecales; Arecaceae.